RNAcentral lists this ribosomal RNA (467 nucleotides) under uncultured bacterium. RNAcentral describes it as "partial 16S ribosomal RNA". It matches the Rfam family "Bacterial small subunit ribosomal RNA", at positions 29 to 507 of the family's 1533-position model. The record is from RNAcentral.
ACGAACGCUGGCGGCGUGCUUCACACCUGCAAGUCGCACGGAAAGGCCCUGCUUUUGUGGGGUGCUCGAGUGGCGAACGGGUGAGUAACACGUGAGUAACCUGCCCUUGACUUUGGGAUAACUUCAGGAAACUGGGGCUAAUACCGGAUAGGGGCUCCUGCUGCAUGGUGGGGGUUGGAAAGUUUCGGCGGUUGGGGAUGGACUCGCGGCUUAUCAGCUUGUUGGUGGGGUAGUGGCUUACCAAGGCUUUGACGGGUAGCCGGCCUGAGAGGGUGACCGGCCACAUUGGGACUGAGAUACGGCCCAGACUCCUACGGGAGGCAGCAGUGGGGAAUAUUGCACAAUGGGCGGAAGCCUGAUGCAGCAACGCCGCGUGCGGGAUGACGGCCUUCGGGUUGUAAACCGCUUUCGCCUGUGACGAAGCGUGAGUGACGGUAAUGGGUAAAGAAGCACCGGCUAACUACGUG